This is a non-coding RNA of Gossypium arboreum, 142 nucleotides long. The record is from Rfam. NCBI's taxonomy places the organism in Eukaryota, Viridiplantae, Streptophyta, Magnoliopsida, Malvales, Malvaceae.
AAUAGUUUUAUGCCACAUCAGUAUUCUUAUCCUGAAUUUUAGGAUUUUAUCCUGAAAAAAAUUAAAUUCAAAUUAAAAUACUGAAAUUCAGGAUAAACUUCUGAAAUUCAGGAUAAGAAUACUGAUGUGGCAUAAAACUAUU